RNAcentral lists this ribosomal RNA (735 nucleotides) under uncultured Fusobacterium sp. RNAcentral describes it as "bacterial SSU rRNA". It matches the Rfam family "Bacterial small subunit ribosomal RNA", at positions 28 to 776 of the family's 1533-position model. The record is from RNAcentral. Lineage: Bacteria; Fusobacteriati; Fusobacteriota; Fusobacteriia; Fusobacteriales; Fusobacteriaceae.
GAUAAACGCUGACAGAAUGCUUAACACAUGCAAGUCAACUUGAAUUUGGGUUUUUAACUUAGAUUUGGGUGGCGGACGGGUGAGUAACGCGUAAAGAACUUGCCUCACAGCUAGGGACAACAUUUAGAAAUGAAUGCUAAUACCUGAUAUUAUGAUUUUAAGGCAUCUUAGAAUUAUGAAAGCUAUAAGCACUGUGAGAGAGCUUUGCGUCCCAUUAGCUAGUUGGAGAGGUAACAGCUCACCAAGGCGAUGAUGGGUAGCCGGCCUGAGGGGGUGAACGGCCACAAGGGGACUGAGACACGGCCCUUACUCCUACGGGAGGCAGCAGUGGGGAAUAUUGGACAAUGGACCGAAAGUCUGAUCCAGCAAUUCUGUGUGCACGAUGAAGUUUUUCGGAAUGUAAAGUGCUUUCAGUUGGGAAGAAAGAAAUGACGGUACCAACAGAAGAAGUGACGGCUAAAUACGUGCCAGCAGCCGCGGUAAUACGUAUGUCACGAGCGUUAUCCGGAUUUAUUGGGCGUAAAGCGCGUCUAGGUGGUUAUGUAAGUCUGAUGUGAAAAUGCAGGGCUCAACUCUGUAUUGCGUUGGAAACUGUAUAACUAGAGUACUGGAGAGGUAAGCGGAACUACAAGUGUAGAGGUGAAAUUCGUAGAUAUUUGUAGGAAUGCCGAUGGGGAAGCCAGCUUACUGGACAGAUACUGACGCUAAAGCGCGAAAGCGUGGGUAGCAAACAGG